UAUGAACGCUGGCGGCGUGCCUAAUACAUGCAAGUCGAGCGAACAGAUGAGAAGCUUGCUUCUCUGAUGUUAGCGGCGGACGGGUGAGUAACACGUGGGUAACCUACCUAUAAGACUGGGAUAACUCCGGGAAACCGGGGCUAAUACCGGAUAAUAUUUUGAACCGCAUGGUUCGAUAGUGAAAGACGGUUUCGGCUGUCACUUAUAGAUGGACCCGCGCCGUAUUAGCUAGUUGGUAAGGUAACGGCUUACCAAGGCGACGAUACGUAGCCGACCUGAGAGGGUGAUCGGCCACACUGGAACUGAGACACGGUCCAGACUCCUACGGGAGGCAGCAGUAGGGAAUCUUCCGCAAUGGGCGAAAGCCUGACGGAGCUACGCCGCGUGAGUGAUGAAGGUCUUCGGAUCGUAAAACUCUGUUGUUAGGGAAGAACAAAUUUGUUAGUAACUGAACAAGUCUUGACGGUACCUAACCAGAAAGCCACGGCUACUACGUGCCAGCCGCCGCCGUAA
This 513-nucleotide ribosomal RNA is filed under the name uncultured bacterium. RNAcentral describes it as "partial 16S ribosomal RNA". It matches the Rfam family "Bacterial small subunit ribosomal RNA", at positions 29 to 523 of the family's 1533-position model. The record is from RNAcentral.